CAGCAGCGCGGUAAUACGAAGGGUGCAAGCGUUACUCGGAAUUACUGGGCGUAAAGCGUGCGUAGGUGGUGGUUUAAGUCCGUUGUGAAAGCCCUGGGCUCAACCUGGGAAUUGCAGUGGAUACUGGGUCACUAGAGUGUGGUAGAGGAUAGUGGAAUUUCCGGUGUAGCAGUGAAAUGCGUAGAGAUCGGAAGGAACAUCUGUGGCGAAGGCGACUAUCUGGGCCAACACUGACACUGAGGCACGAAAGCGUGGGGAGCAAACAGGAUUAGAUACCCCAGUAGUCCCUGUCUCUUAUACA
Molecule: ribosomal RNA, 301 nt
Filed under: uncultured bacterium
Lineage: Bacteria
Description: partial 16S ribosomal RNA
Rfam family: Bacterial small subunit ribosomal RNA
Source: RNAcentral